UCUCCGUAGGUGAACCUGCGGAGGGAUCAUUACUGAGUGAGGGCUCCGGCCCGACCUCCAACCCCAUGUGAACCGAAACCUGUUGCUUCGGGGGCGACCCUGCCUUUCGGCGCGGCGCCCCCGGAGGCUCAUCAAACACUGCAUCUUUGCGUCGGAGUCUUAAUGAAUUUAAACAAAACUUUUAACAACGGAUCUCUUGGUUCUGGCAUCGAUGAAGAACGCAGC
Molecule: unclassified non-coding RNA, 225 nt
Filed under: uncultured fungus
Lineage: Eukaryota; Fungi
Description: sequence contains ITS1, 5.8S rRNA gene
Rfam family: 5.8S ribosomal RNA (bases 177-225)
Source: RNAcentral